UACUGGGCAAUGGGCGCAAGCCUGACCCAGCCACGCCGCGUGAGUGAUGAAGGCCUUCGGGUUGUAAAGCUCAGUGGGGAGGGAAGAAAAAUCCGGGGUCGAAAAGCGCCCGGAUUCGACGGUACCGACUUAUCAAGCUCCGGCUAACCCCCGGCCAGCACCCGCGGUAAGACAGAGGGUGCAAACGUUGCUCGGAAUUACUGGGCGUAAAGGGCGCGUAGGCGGAUUUGGAAGUCGGGUGUGAAAUCCCUGGGCUCAACCUAGGAACUGCAUUCGAAACUCCAAGUCUAGAGUGACGGAGAGGAAAGCGGAAUUCCCGGUGUAGAGGUGAAAUUCGUAGAUAUCGGGAGGAACACCAGAGGCGAAGGCGGCUUUCUGGACGUCUACUGACGCUGAGGCGCGAAAGCGUGGGGAGCAAAC
RNAcentral lists this ribosomal RNA (420 nucleotides) under uncultured bacterium. RNAcentral's name for it is "partial 16S ribosomal RNA". It matches the Rfam family "Bacterial small subunit ribosomal RNA", at positions 362 to 773 of the family's 1533-position model. The record is from RNAcentral.